Molecule: non-coding RNA, 182 nt
Organism: Tinamus guttatus (white-throated tinamou)
Lineage: Eukaryota; Metazoa; Chordata; Aves; Tinamiformes; Tinamidae
Source: RefSeq, a predicted model, not a curated record
AGGGCCCUUUCUCAGGAUGAUGAAGAUGAUACCCACUUAAAAAUAGAGGAUAUCAUUCAGAUGUCAGAAUGUCCAAAACCAGAAUGCUUUGAGACUUUGUCAGCCAUGGAGCUUGCAGAGCAAAUAACUCUUUUAGAUCACACAGUUUUCAGAAGCAUACCCUAUGAAGAGUUUCUUGGUCA